RNAcentral lists this ribosomal RNA (2899 nucleotides) under Escherichia coli PA7. RNAcentral describes it as "bacterial LSU rRNA". It matches the Rfam family "Bacterial large subunit ribosomal RNA". Lineage: Bacteria; Pseudomonadati; Pseudomonadota; Gammaproteobacteria; Enterobacterales; Enterobacteriaceae. The record is from RNAcentral.
UAAGCGACUAAGCGUACACGGUGGAUGCCCUGGCAGUCAGAGGCGAUGAAGGACGUGCUAAUCUGCGAUAAGCGUCGGUAAGGUGAUAUGAACCGUUAUAACCGGCGAUUUCCGAAUGGGGAAACCCAGUGUGUUUCGACACACUAUCAUUAACUGAAUCCAUAGGUUAAUGAGGCGAACCGGGGGAACUGAAACAUCUAAGUACCCCGAGGAAAAGAAAUCAACCGAGAUUCCCCCAGUAGCGGCGAGCGAACGGGGAGCAGCCCAGAGCCUGAAUCAGUGUGUGUGUUAGUGGAAGCGUCUGGAAAGGCGCGCGAUACAGGGUGACAGCCCCGUACACAAAAAUGCACAUACUGUGAGCUCGAUGAGUAGGGCGGGACACGUGGUAUCCUGUCUGAAUAUGGGGGGACCAUCCUCCAAGGCUAAAUACUCCUGACUGACCGAUAGUGAACCAGUACCGUGAGGGAAAGGCGAAAAGAACCCCGGCGAGGGGAGUGAAAAAGAACCUGAAACCGUGUACGUACAAGCAGUGGGAGCCUCUUUUAUGGGGUGACUGCGUACCUUUUGUAUAAUGGGUCAGCGACUUAUAUUCUGUAGCAAGGUUAACCGAAUAGGGGAGCCGAAGGGAAACCGAGUCUUAACCGGGCGUUAAGUUGCAGGGUAUAGACCCGAAACCCGGUGAUCUAGCCAUGGGCAGGUUGAAGGUUGGGUAACACUAACUGGAGGACCGAACCGACUAAUGUUGAAAAAUUAGCGGAUGACUUGUGGCUGGGGGUGAAAGGCCAAUCAAACCGGGAGAUAGCUGGUUCUCCCCGAAAGCUAUUUAGGUAGCGCCUCGUGAAUUCAUCUCCGGGGGUAGAGCACUGUUUCGGCAAGGGGGUCAUCCCGACUUACCAACCCGAUGCAAACUGCGAAUACCGGAGAAUGUUAUUACGGGAGACACACGGCGGGUGCUAACGUCCGUCGUGAAGAGGGAAACAACCCAGACCGCCAGCUAAGGUCCCAAAGUCAUGGUUAAGUGGGAGACGAUGUGGGAAGGCCCAGACAGCCAGGAUGUUGGCUUAGAAGCAGCCAUCAUUUAAAGAAAGCGUAAUAGCUCACUGGUCGAGUCGGCCUGCGCGGAAGAUGUAACGGGGCUAAACCAUGCACCGAAGCUGCGGCAGCGACACUGUGUGUUGUUGGGUAGGGGAGCGUUCUGUAAGCCUGUGAAGGUGUACUGUAAGGUAUGCUGGAGGUAUCAGAAGUGCGAAUGCUGACAUAAGUAACGAUAAAGCGGGUGAAAAGCCCGCUCGCCGGAAGACCAAGGGUUCCUGUCCAACGUUAAUCGGGGCAGGGUGAGUCGACCCCUAAGGCGAGGCCGAAAGGCGUAGUCGAUGGGAAACAGGUUAAUAUUCCUGUACUUGGUGUUACUGCGAAGGGGGGACGGAGAAGGCUAUGUUGGCCGGGCGACGGUUGUCCCGGUUUAAGCGUGUAGGCUGGUUUUCCAGGCAAAUCCGGAAAAUCAAGGCUGAGGCGUGAUGACGAGGCACUACGGUGCUGAAGCAACAAAUGCCCUGCUUCCAGGAAAAGCCUCUAAGCAUCAGGUAACAUCAAAUCGUACCCCAAACCGACACAGGUGGUCAGGUAGAGAAUACCAAGGCGCUUGAGAGAACUCGGGUGAAGGAACUAGGCAAAAUGGUGCCGUAACUUCGGGAGAAGGCACGCUGAUAUGUAGGUGAAGUCCCUCGCGGAUGGAGCUGAAAUCAGUCGAAGAUACCAGCUGGCUGCAACUGUUUAUUAAAAACACAGCACUGUGCAAACACGAAAGUGGACGUAUACGGUGUGACGCCUGCCCGGUGCCGGAAGGUUAAUUGAUGGGGUCAGCGCAAGCGAAGCUCUUGAUCGAAGCCCCGGUAAACGGCGGCCGUAACUAUAACGGUCCUAAGGUAGCGAAAUUCCUUGUCGGGUAAGUUCCGACCUGCACGAAUGGCGUAAUGAUGGCCAGGCUGUCUCCACCCGAGACUCAGUGAAAUUGAACUCGCUGUGAAGAUGCAGUGUACCCGCGGCAAGACGGAAAGACCCCGUGAACCUUUACUAUAGCUUGACACUGAACAUUGAGCCUUGAUGUGUAGGAUAGGUGGGAGGCUUUGAAGUGUGGACGCCAGUCUGCAUGGAGCCGACCUUGAAAUACCACCCUUUAAUGUUUGAUGUUCUAACGUGGACCCGUGAUCCGGGUUGCGGACAGUGUCUGGUGGGUAGUUUGACUGGGGCGGUCUCCUCCUAAAGAGUAACGGAGGAGCACGAAGGUUGGCUAAUCCUGGUCGGACAUCAGGAGGUUAGUGCAAUGGCAUAAGCCAGCUUGACUGCGAGCGUGACGGCGCGAGCAGGUGCGAAAGCAGGUCAUAGUGAUCCGGUGGUUCUGAAUGGAAGGGCCAUCGCUCAACGGAUAAAAGGUACUCCGGGGAUAACAGGCUGAUACCGCCCAAGAGUUCAUAUCGACGGCGGUGUUUGGCACCUCGAUGUCGGCUCAUCACAUCCUGGGGCUGAAGUAGGUCCCAAGGGUAUGGCUGUUCGCCAUUUAAAGUGGUACGCGAGCUGGGUUUAGAACGUCGUGAGACAGUUCGGUCCCUAUCUGCCGUGGGCGCUGGAGAACUGAGGGGGGCUGCUCCUAGUACGAGAGGACCGGAGUGGACGCAUCACUGGUGUUCGGGUUGUCAUGCCAAUGGCACUGCCCGGUAGCUAAAUGCGGAAGAGAUAAGUGCUGAAAGCAUCUAAGCACGAAACUUGCCCCGAGAUGAGUUCUCCCUGACCCUUUAAGGGUCCUGAAGGAACGUUGAAGACGACGACGUUGAUAGGCCGGGUGUGUAAGCGCAGCGAUGCGUUGAGCUAACCGGUACUAAUGAACCGUGAGGCUUAACCU